Molecule: ribosomal RNA, 371 nt
Filed under: uncultured organism
Description: bacterial SSU rRNA
Rfam family: Bacterial small subunit ribosomal RNA
Source: RNAcentral
CGAACCGUCCAAACGUUAUUCGGAAUUACUGGGCUUAAAGGGUAUGUAGGCGGCGCUGUUAGUCGGGUGUGAAAUCCCUCGGCUCAACCGAGGAAUUGCGCCCGAUACUGCAGUGCUUGAGGGAGACAGAGGUAAGCGGAACUGAUGGUGGAGCGGUGAAAUGCGUUGAUAUCAUCAGGAACACCGGUGGCGAAAGCGGCUUACUGGGUCUCUUCUGACGCUGAGAUACGAAAGCUAGGGGAGCGAAGGGGAUUAGAUACCCCCGUAGUCCUAGCUGUAAACGUUGAGCACUUGAUCGAGGGCCCCCCAUAGGCUCCCGGUCGUAGCGAAAGUGUUAAGUGCUCCGCCUGGGGAGUAUGGUCGCAAGGCUG